RNAcentral lists this ribosomal RNA (596 nucleotides) under Escherichia coli. RNAcentral's name for it is "partial 23S ribosomal RNA". It matches the Rfam family "Bacterial large subunit ribosomal RNA", at positions 1430 to 2037 of the family's 2925-position model. The record is from RNAcentral. Lineage: Bacteria; Pseudomonadati; Pseudomonadota; Gammaproteobacteria; Enterobacterales; Enterobacteriaceae.
UUAAUAUUCCUGUACUUCUGGUUAUUGCGAUGGAGGGACGGAGAAGGCUAGGCCAGCUUGGCGUUGGUUGUCCAAGUUUAAGGUGGUAGGCUGAGAUCUUAGGUAAAUCCGGGAUCUUAAGGCCGAGAGCUGAUGACGAGUUACCUUUCAGGUGACGAAGUGGUUGAUGCCAUGCUUCCAAGAAAAGCUUCUAACAUUAAUAAUUAACUGCCUGUACCUAGAACGAACACACGUGGUCAAGGAGAAAAUCCUAAGGCAAGCGAGAUAACUGUAGCUAAGGAACUCUGCAAAAUAACUCCGUAACUUCGGAAGAAGGAGUGCUCAUCUUUGAUGAGCCGCAGUGAAGAGGGAGGGGCAACUGUUUAACAAAAACACAGCUCUCUGCUAAGUCGCAAGACGAUGUAUAGGGGGUGACACCUGCCCAGUGCCGGAAGGUUAAGAGGAGAAGUCAGCGCAAGCGAAGCUUUGAAUUGAAGCCCCGGUGAACGGCGGCCGUAACAAUAACGGUCCUAAGGUAGCGAAAUUCCUUGUCAGGUAAAUUCUGACCCGCACGAAAGGUGUAAUGAUCCCUUCGCUGUCUCGGCUGCAGACUCGGU